This 426-nucleotide ribosomal RNA is filed under the name uncultured bacterium. RNAcentral's name for it is "partial 16S ribosomal RNA". It matches the Rfam family "Bacterial small subunit ribosomal RNA", at positions 354 to 796 of the family's 1533-position model. The record is from RNAcentral.
GUGGGGGAUAUUGCACAAUGGGGGAAACCCUGAUGCAGCGACGUCGCGUGAGGGAAGACGGUUUUCGGAUUGUAAACCUCUGUCUUCGGGGACGAGUAGAAGACGGUACCCGAGGAGGAAGCCACGGCUAACUACGUGCCAGCAGCCGCGGUAAUACGUAGGUGGCAAGCGUUGUCCGGAAUUACUGGGUGUAAAGGGAGCGUAGGCGGGAGUGCAAGUCAAGUGUCAAAUCUAUCGGCUCAACCGGUAGUCGCGCUUGAAACUGCAUUUCUUGAGUGAAGUAGAGGCAGACGGAAUUCCUAGUGUAGCGUUGAAAUGCGUAGAUAUUAGGAGGAACACCAGUGGCGAAGGCGGUCUGCUGGGCUUUAACUGACGCUGAGGCUCGAAAGCAUGGGUAGCAAACAGGAUUAGAAACCCUGGUAGUCC